UCCAAAACUGAGUACCUAGAAUAUGGGAGAGGUAGAUGGAAUUUCUGGUGUAGGGGUAAAAUCCGUAGAGAUCAGAAGGAAUACCGAUUGCGAAGGCGAUCUACUGGAACAUUAUUGACGCUGAGACGCGAAAGCGUGGGGAGCAAACAGGAUUAGAUACCCUGGUAGUCCACGCCCUAAACGAUGUACAUUAGUUGUUGCUAUGCUAGACAUAGCAGUAAUGCAGUUAACACAUUAAAUGUACCGCCUGGGGAGUACGGUCGCAAGAUUAAAACUCAAAGGAAUAGACGGGGACCCGCACAAGCGGUGGAGCAUGUGGUUUAAUUCGACGAUACGCGAAGAACCUUACCUGGCCUUAACAUAGAAAGAAUUUAGCAGAGAUGUAAAAGUGCUAGUUUACUAGAGCUUUCAUACAGGUGCUGCACGGCUGUCGUCAGCUCGUGUCGUGAGAUGUUAGGUUAAGUCCUGCAACGAGCGCAACCCUCGUGUUUAGUUACUAACAGAUUAUGCUGAGGACUCUAGACAUACUGCCUGGGCAACCAGGAGGAAGGUGAGGACGACGUCAAGUCAUCAUGGCCCUUACGGCCAGGGCUACACACGUGCUACAAUGGGGUAUACAAAGAGCAGCGAUACCGCGAGGUGGAGCAAAUCUCAUAAAAUAUCUCCCAGUUCGGAUUACACUCUGCAACUCGAGUGUAUG
RNAcentral lists this ribosomal RNA (700 nucleotides) under uncultured bacterium. RNAcentral's name for it is "bacterial SSU rRNA". It matches the Rfam family "Bacterial small subunit ribosomal RNA", at positions 626 to 1322 of the family's 1533-position model. The record is from RNAcentral.